UUGACCUCAAAUCAGGUAGGAUUACCCGCCGAACUUAAGCAUAUCAAUAAGCGGAGGA
Molecule: ribosomal RNA, 58 nt
Filed under: Sanghuangporus baumii
Lineage: Eukaryota; Fungi; Basidiomycota; Agaricomycetes; Hymenochaetales; Hymenochaetaceae
Also listed under: 6 other names
Description: partial 28S ribosomal RNA
Rfam family: Eukaryotic large subunit ribosomal RNA
Source: RNAcentral